CGGAGAGUAGUGGUGUCAGGGGUCGUUCAGGGCCAUGUGGAGCACGUUGCGGAGAGUGGAGUGGUGUCCAUUAUCGGGACUUGCCAGAGAGUGGUGGAGCUGCAUGAAAUCCAUUGCAGGGAGUGGAGCAGGAGGGCGGCUCUUGUCGUGACUCAUCAGAGAGUGGUGGAGCUGCAUGAAAUCCGUCGCAGGGAGUGGAGCAGGAGGGUGGCUC
RNAcentral lists this long non-coding RNA (214 nucleotides) under Elaeis guineensis (African oil palm). RNAcentral describes it as "long non-coding RNA (EGUI_LNC051047)". Lineage: Eukaryota; Viridiplantae; Streptophyta; Magnoliopsida; Arecales; Arecaceae. The record is from RNAcentral.